UAUCAGGCAUACAGGCACGGUGGAUCUUGUUCCAUAUGAUGAAGGCGUGGUGUGAGAACACAUCAAUGAUGUUAUGGAAGUUGACCAGGGGCCAGCAGGCAGUCAUCCUUCUGCAGCUGUAAGUUCCAAUCACCUUGUCCAGGCUGUCCACGCCUCCUUUGUGGUUGUAAUCCAGGAUGAUGACUGGCUUCCUGUCCUCACGAUCACUGAUCUCAGUCGUUUUGUGCAGUGUGCUCAGGAGGACAACAUUCUUGUUCCACUUUGGGAGGCCGGUGGUAGCUGGUCCCCUACAGGACGGUGAGGUGCCGGAGGUCCCUCCUCCCCCUCUGGACAUCGAGCGGUCCCCGCCGUAUACGAUACAGGCCAAUCUGGACUCGAGACGCCGGGUGAGGGGCCUGCAGUACCUCGUGGACUGGGAGGGGUACGGUCCGGAGGAGAGGUGCUGGGUACCGGUGGGGGACAUUUUGGAUCCGUCAAUGUUGAGGGAUUUCCAACGCCUCCAUCCGGAUCGCCCUGUGCCUUGUCCUCCGGGUCGACCUCGAGGCCGGUGUCGGCUGGUGUCGGCUCGCGUCGGGGGGGGUACUGUCACGACUCCGACCGAAGGUGGCUCCCCUUCCCAUUCGGGUGGCGCUCGGCGGUCGUUGUCGUCGGCCUACUAGCUGCCACUGAUUCUUUCCUCCCCCUCCUUAUAUGUGUUUAUUGAGUACACCUGUUUUGAGUUGGGUAUAAUUAGUGAGGCGUUAUUAGUCAGCCGGCCCGCCUGGUUCUUUGUGCGGGAUUAUUUAUUGUGACCUUCUGUUUUAUAGGUGAGGAACGUGUUUGUUCCUGGUCGUGCAUUUUGGUUGUGAGCACCCUGUGUUACGUUUUAUGCAUUAAAGAGCACAGCAUCGCACUCUAUGUUUCCUGCAUCUGACUCCACACCCAUGACACCGGAGCUUUCCAAUUAUAUACAUUUUAUGAUAUCAAUAAACUUUGUGCCACACAUCAUAAUCAGUACAAGCUUAAAAAAUAUAUUUUCCAUGCAUCAUAUGUGUCC
Molecule: long non-coding RNA, 1036 nt
Organism: Oncorhynchus tshawytscha (Chinook salmon)
Lineage: Eukaryota; Metazoa; Chordata; Actinopteri; Salmoniformes; Salmonidae
Source: Ensembl